Phyllostomus discolor (pale spear-nosed bat) is the source of this 2817-nucleotide long non-coding RNA. RefSeq lists it as uncharacterized. The record is from RefSeq and is a predicted model, not a curated record. The transcript has 2 exons. NCBI's taxonomy places the organism in Eukaryota, Metazoa, Chordata, Mammalia, Chiroptera, Phyllostomidae.
ACAAAAUCCCUUCUACACCUUACAGCCCUUUGGUUAGCAUCAGUAUGUCUCCAGAGAAGAAAGGCCAAGCUCCUUGGUCCCUUUCAAAAAUUGGGGAAAUUGAGUGUGGGAUUUAGUGUGGACAAUUCAUGUCAUAGAUAUUUUAGCUCAUGAGCUGACAAAGCUGGAAGCAUCCCAUGAGACCCUCCAGUCGAGGGGCCACAAAUUCAAAUGCCAGGCAGGUAACUUAAAUGAGGGAUAAGGGGUUGUUAUAAUAUAACAGGAGGCAGUUGGGACCAAAGAGAAAUGGACAAAGCAUGUCCUGUCUAGGGUGGCUGCAGUGGACAUACUUGAAAGAGAGCUUGGGUGACCUUUGCUCUGGUCUGACUCCUGAUAUUUUAUCUAUAAGAAAGGUGACCAGAGGCCUUGAGAAGGAAAUGACUUCACAGGGUACUGUGCCUUUUUUUACACUUGGGAGCGACAUAAAAAUAUUUCCACGAUGAGUCUCAGACUCCCUCGGAAAUGAGCCCCUGUCCUGCCUUUGGUAUUUUACAGACUUGGGACUCCCAAAUGUGCUUUGGGGAGUGGUAGAAUUUUUAUGUGAAGAAUGUUCCCACUAUUUCUCACUUCUUUGGUUUUCUAAGGAGGAGCUGUAGUAUAUAUCCUUUUCUGAAUUUAAUGUUAUUUUGAGCUUGUGCCAGUCUCAAGAUGUGUCUAGUGUGCCCAUAAGUCACGGUGGGGGGGGGGGCAGGAUUGGUUCUUCCAGGGAACUAUGGGAGGAACUUGGGGGAGGGAACCCCUUGUUUGACUUGGAGGUACCCUUUGGCCCUGGAAAGUAGAAGGCAGUAGUGGGAAGGAUCUAGAAAACUCAGCCCAUUUCCUUGCAGGAACAACACAUCAAUAUGUUUUUGUUUGGUGGACAAUGUAUGGGAAAAUCUUUGAUUUUAUUUUUUGUAAUUGUGCAUGUAUUUCUUAGCAUUUUAUUUCCUGGAAUUGAUUAAAGCUUUCCUGUCUCUAAAGAGAUUCUUUAGGGUCAUUAAAUAGAAAAAUGUCUGUUGGAGAUGAAUUGACGGUGUUUCUAGGGACUCACUCAGAGAAAUAGGAGUUUCCUUAACUGGUUGAAAAGUUUGUUCUGAUCUGCGCUGAAUAGAAACAAGUAGUUAAUGUUUAUUUAGAUAUUAUGUGCCAGGAAUCAUGCCAAAUGGCAUAUACAAAUUAUCUCACUUUAUAGAAAUAGUCUGAGAAUAGGUACUUUUAUUAUUCCCCCUUUUCUGAUAUUAAAAUUGAGUCACAUGAACAUUAAAUAAUGUAGGCAGUGUCACAUGCUUAGCACAUGGUGGAAAAGGAAUCAAUCCCAUGUGGUCAGAUAGUAGAAUCUGAACCCUUGACAACUAACUGUGUUACAUGAAAAUGAGAAUUUUUAAGCCCUUAUAGCAUGCAAUUACAGCUGGAUGUUGGAUUUCAGGAUUACAGGUGUGUUCUCAGGGACAAACCUUGUAACUGGUAUAUGUUGGUCCUUUCAGGUAGUAUCAGAGCCCAUCUGUAUGGCUGCGCUUAUUGUAUUUUUAUCCAACACUAAACAGAGUGUACUUCCAUCACUGUCUUUGAUACCUUCCUGGCACAUUCACCCAGAAAGGAGAAUUUCCAUAAAACUGUUUGAAAACGACAGCAGUAUGCACCUGGGGGACUGCUCUCCUUGUGGACAGAAUGAUUGUGGUUGAAAGUGUGAGCUCAUAGAUAGAGAACAGACUGGCUGCUGUCAGUGGGGAGGGGUGUUUUGGGGCUGGGUGAAAAUAGUGAAGGGAUUAAGAAGUAAAAAACUCUUAGACACACACACACUGUUUCAAAAGAUCUGGCCAUUGUAAAAUAAAGCUAAAAUUAGCUCUAAUAGCACCCUGGAAAAAAAAGAAAAUGUAAAUGAGGAAGAGAAAAUUUAGGCUGUUAAGGUCUCCUUCACCACUUGUCUAUAAGGUAGAAAGGGAGUGUUUGGAAUAACUUUCAGUUUCAAAUGGGGAACCUGAGAAACACAGGUGAGAAGGAACUCAAUGAGGUCCAUCCAGCUCAGUCAACCAAGGGCCAAGUACUGUGCUAGAUGCUUUACAUACAUGAUCUCAGUCAGUCCUCAUACUAACCUUGUUGAGUAGAUAUCUUUGUUUCACCAGUGAGGAAGUGGAGGCUUCAGAAGCAAGUUGGGGGUUGAUAUCCUGCUAGUAUAUACUAGGUACAUUGGUGCAGCAUAACAGCCAAGGUCCUUCUGAUUGGUUGGUGCCUUUUUUAUUUAAAGAAAGUUAACUGCAGUACUAACUACUGAACGUCAGUGGCUUUGACUAGUAAAAAUUAUUCCUUACUUACCCAAUGACCAGUGUAGAAGUUUAUGGUGAGCCAGCAGUUCCUUCCAUCCCAGGAUACUGGAUUAGGCCUCAAAGACUUCUGCUGGGCCCUUUGCAUGCAGCUGACAGACAUGGAAAGAGAAAGGGAGUGGAGAACUUUCCAGGUAGGUUUUUAUGGGCCAGGAAUAGAAGUGGAACACAUAAUUUCCUCCAUAUUUUACUGGCAGGAACUCUCUAACUUCAAGGGAAGCUGGGAAAUCUAGUCUAGCUAGUUGCCCAGGAGGAAAAAGAAAGGAGUUUUAGUGAACACAUAGCAGUGUGCCACAUGAGCAUGCUCUACUGACUGUUGUAUAUUUGAGGUUUGCCCUAGAUUAAGUCACAAAGCCAGCAUGUGUAACCCAAAAUCUGGAUUCUUUGUAGUCUCUCAUUUUCCUCUGAUGGCUGGAUCAAAUUCUGUGGCCCUGGACUCAGUGGGUACUGCACAUGACCAUGUGAUCUUUGCCUUCCU